CCUACGGGAGGCAGCAGUGGGGAAUCUUGCACAAUGGAGGAAACUCUGAUGCAGCGAUGCCGCGUGAGUGAAGAAGGCCUUUGGGUUGUAAAGCUCUUUUGUAGGGGAAGAUAAUGACUGUACCCUAAGAAUAAGGUCCGGCUAACUUCGUGCCAGCAGCCGCGGUAAUACGAAGGGACCUAGCGUAGUUCGGAAUUACUGGGCGUAAAGCGCGCGUAGGCCGUUGAGUUAGUUAAUUGUGAAAUCCCAAAGCUUAACUUUGGAACUGCAAUUAAAACUGCUCGACUAGAGUUUGAUAGAGGAAAGCGGAAUACAUAGUGUAGAGGUGAAAUUCGUAGAUAUUAUGUAGAACACCAGUUGCGAAGGCGGCUUUCUGGAUCAACACUGACGCUGAGGCGCGAAAGUAUGGGUAGCAAAGAGGAUUAGAUACCCUCGUAGUCCAUACCAUAAACGAUGAUUGCUAGAUGUUGGAAAUUUAUUUCAGUAUCGCAGCUAACGCAUUAAGCAAUCCGCCUGGGGAUACGACCGCAAGGUUAAAACUCAAAUGAAUUGACGGCUGAGACGNGCGAGACGACGACGAGGAGAG
This 586-nucleotide ribosomal RNA is filed under the name uncultured bacterium. RNAcentral's name for it is "bacterial SSU rRNA". It matches the Rfam family "Bacterial small subunit ribosomal RNA", at positions 338 to 945 of the family's 1533-position model. The record is from RNAcentral.